This 399-nucleotide ribosomal RNA is filed under the name uncultured bacterium. RNAcentral's name for it is "bacterial SSU rRNA". It matches the Rfam family "Bacterial small subunit ribosomal RNA", at positions 358 to 773 of the family's 1533-position model. The record is from RNAcentral.
GGAAUUUUGGACAAUGGGCGCAAGCCUGAUCCAGCCAUGCCGCGUGCGGGAAGAAGGCCCUAGGGUUGUAAACCGCUUUCAGCAGGGAAGAAAAUGACGGUACCUGCAGAAGAAGGUGCGGCCAACUACGUGCCAGCAGCCGCGGUGACACGUAGGCACCAAGCGUUGUCCGGACUUAUUGGGCGUAAAGAGCUCGUAGGCGGUUCAGUAAGUCGGGUGUGAAAACUCUGGGCUCAACCCAGAGAGGCCACCCGAUACUGCUGUGACUUGAGUACGGUAGGGGAGCGGGGAAUUCCUGGUGUAGCGGUGAAAUGCGCAGAUAUCAGGAGGAACACCAGUGGCGAAGGCGCCGCUCUGGGCCGUAACUGACGCUGAGGAGCGAAAGCGUGGGUAGCAAAC